GUAGGUGAACCUGCGGAAGGAUCAUUACUGAAUGCUGCAAAGCGUAUACCAUUGUGUAAAAUAUUAUUUCGGGGGGCAACCUCUACUUAAACUAAACAACAUUUUUAAAAUAUUAGUCAGAUUAUAAAUUAAUAGAUCAAAACUUUCAACAACGGAUCUCUUGGUUCUC
Molecule: unclassified non-coding RNA, 169 nt
Filed under: rhizosphere metagenome
Description: partial ribosomal RNA internal transcribed spacer region
Source: RNAcentral